AUUUAAAGUUAUUGCCGGCCCUAGUGACAAACCCAUGAUUGUUGUAAACUAUAAGGGUGAAGAGAAGCAGUUUUCGGCUGAAGAAAUCUCUUCUAUGGUGCUCAUAAAGAUGAAGGAGAUUGCCGAGGCGUAUUUGGGAACAACAGUGAAGAACGCCGUCGUCACUGUCCCAGCCUACUUCAACGAUUCACAGAGACAGGCCACCAAGG
This 209-nucleotide unclassified non-coding RNA is filed under the name Hevea brasiliensis (rubber tree). Lineage: Eukaryota; Viridiplantae; Streptophyta; Magnoliopsida; Malpighiales; Euphorbiaceae. The record is from RNAcentral.